UGCUAGUUCUUUAGUUUUGAGCUUCUGCAUUUCCUAAUUUCAUGGUUACAACAGCCUCGGAACAGCUUCUACCAAAACUGAAAAUGCAGGCUCCAUGCUCAGCAGCUCUCUGACGGGCAGCAAAGGUUCAUGCCCCUUCUCCUGCCCUCUCUAGCACAAGAAGACAGUCUCUGAGGGACUUUCUUCUCCUCAAAUGUGUUUCCUCAUGCCCAGCUAGAACAGAGAUGAAGGCUGCGAGUCUGAAAUCAAGCGCUGCAACCAAGGAGGCAAAAGGAGAGAUACAGCGGGAUGUGGCCUGGUAACCUGAGACGGCAGGUAGUUUUUCAGAAAAAUGAGCAGCCAGGAGUGACUUCAUGCAUUUCC
RNAcentral lists this long non-coding RNA (363 nucleotides) under Fukomys damarensis (Damara mole-rat). RNAcentral describes it as "lncRNA (ENSFDAG00000026594.1)". The record is from RNAcentral. Lineage: Eukaryota; Metazoa; Chordata; Mammalia; Rodentia; Bathyergidae.